RNAcentral lists this ribosomal RNA (253 nucleotides) under uncultured bacterium. RNAcentral's name for it is "partial 16S ribosomal RNA". It matches the Rfam family "Bacterial small subunit ribosomal RNA", at positions 524 to 776 of the family's 1533-position model. The record is from RNAcentral.
UACGUAGGGUGCAAGCGUUAAUCGGAAUUACUGGGCGUAAAGCGUGCGCAGGCGGUUUUGUAAGACUGUCGUGAAAUCCCCGGGCUUAACCUGGGAAUGGCGUCUGAAACUACGGAGCUGGAGUGUGGCAGAGGGAGGUAGAAUUCCACGUGUAGCGGUGAAAUGCGUAGAUAUGUGGAGGAAUACCGAUGGCGAAGGCAGCCUCCUGGGCCAACACUGACGCUCAUGCACGAAAGCGUGGGGAGCAAACAGG